Epinephelus lanceolatus (giant grouper) is the source of this 647-nucleotide long non-coding RNA. RefSeq lists it as uncharacterized. The record is from RefSeq and is a predicted model, not a curated record. Lineage: Eukaryota; Metazoa; Chordata; Actinopteri; Perciformes; Serranidae.
GGCUACAUCCCUGGGUAGUGUUAACUACUUUGAGCUUAUGUUAAUGCAAUUAAAAGCGUGAGGCAAAGACACCUGGCAUGUGCCUGCUGGCACUCCUCUCAGGACCUCAGAGACAUCAGGGCGAAUUUUGGACUAAAACGCAGUCUGUGAGGCUGGUUCUCCUGCAGCAGGUGCAACUUCUGAUUCUGGUCCAGACCACCUGCCUCCAGCACCAAGGCAAAGUGCUCAAUGUAGCGCAGUGAGAGGCGGUCCUGCAGGGAGGAGAUCACAUCCUGGAAGAAGAGACAUGAAAAACGGUCAGAGAUUGAAAUACAUUUCCACGAGCAAAGCAAGUGUCAAGGUCAUGUGUUGCACAGUGUACCUGUCACAUGCGUUCGUGUGUCCAUCCUGGACCUUGGCCAUCCCCUGAGAGGAGGGAGCAGCAUGGGACAGGGUCGCACUGCAAAGGCCGUUCUCUGUUUCGCAAUCAUUCACCUGCACAAUGAAAAGGAGGAGACAAGGGGGGUGCAAGCACAGAGUUGCUGGAAGGACGCUCAUUCUGUUGGAUCUUCAAGGAGGCGCCAGUGAAUAGCUGUUCAUCAGGUAGACUCUUCAACCAGCGCCUCUUAUCCCUGCUACCAGGUAAACAAUAAAAACUCUAUCUCUAU